Molecule: unclassified non-coding RNA, 401 nt
Filed under: Hevea brasiliensis (rubber tree)
Lineage: Eukaryota; Viridiplantae; Streptophyta; Magnoliopsida; Malpighiales; Euphorbiaceae
Source: RNAcentral
GUUAUUGCUGUUGUCUUUGCAUGGAACAAUUUAUGGCAAGGGAAGAUUUCGCAGCUUCCAGGGAAGUACCAAAAGGAUGCUCUUCCCACGCUGCUUUAUGGAUUUAGAUUCUGGAUCCCAGUCAGUGCAUUGAAUUUUUGGGUGGUCCCACUUCAAGCUCGUGUAGCUUUCAUGUCCAUCGGGUCUAUAUUUUGGAACUUCUGCUUAUCAUCAACAAUGAGCAAAUAGAUUCAUCUGCUUGGGUUUAUCAAUUUGGUAUUAGCAAUGUCUACUUUUUAACAUGAAGUGUAUUUUUAUAUCCAUUUCAUUCUACUGGCUCUGAGCUUAAUUAGUUUUGGUGAACUUUCAUAAAGAUACCAUUCAUUACACUUGCCAUCAUAUAUGAAUCUCUUUAGUUAUUU